GUCCCUGCCAGUCUGGGUCAAGUUUCUGGCACCUGACUUGUUUGCCAGGAAAAAGACAACUGCGGGUGAAGGAGAAAACCCUUUCCUGCAUGCUCGGCUGCCUUCGGAUCCAACGCUCCUAGCUGGGAGAUGGGAAGCUGUGGGCUGCGCAGUGGGUCUUUAUGGUCUUGGAAAGGGGACACCCCACCUUGUGCUCAUCUUUGUAGAAUCUGGGCAAGUUUGGGGGUCCUCAUAAAGAUUUUGAAAUUUUUGAAGUCUAUUCUCUGCCUGUUUUUCUAAAAAAUUCUUCAGUAGGUGAAUAAUUUACUUAACAUUGUGUACUUGGGAGAAUAUGAUGAUGGGGACAGAGCAUGCUGCAUUGCAUGGCUUCUUAGGAAGAAAACACUAUGGGCUGCCCUGCAGAAAUGCAGGCAGAAGCUGUCAUCAGUGAAUGUUGGGAGGAUCCAUAAUGUUGGAUUGGAAUAGAACUAGAGUGAGGUUGUUUCAUGAGGCCUUCUCCCAUCUAGAAUCUUUCUCAGGAGUAUUCUGGAUGCUUUGACCUGGAUCAGUUACUGCUUUGGUUUGUGGCAACAUGAAAACUGGCACAACAGGACAAAAAUGAGUUGAUUAUUUCAGCUGAACUUCCUGGGAGUUUCAUUCACAAUAAAGGAGAGGCAGAACAAGUAGAAAACUGGAA
RNAcentral lists this long non-coding RNA (676 nucleotides) under Homo sapiens (human). Its description in RNAcentral is "non-protein coding lnc-LY96-2:1". The record is from RNAcentral. Lineage: Eukaryota; Metazoa; Chordata; Mammalia; Primates; Hominidae.